This 452-nucleotide ribosomal RNA is filed under the name Pseudoxanthomonas sp. RNAcentral describes it as "bacterial SSU rRNA". It matches the Rfam family "Bacterial small subunit ribosomal RNA", at positions 27 to 484 of the family's 1533-position model. Lineage: Bacteria; Pseudomonadati; Pseudomonadota; Gammaproteobacteria; Lysobacterales; Lysobacteraceae. The record is from RNAcentral.
GAGUGAACGCUGGCGGUAGGCCUAACACAUGCAAGUCGAACGGCAGCACAGUAAGAGCUUGCUCUUUUGGGUGGCGAGUGGCGGACGGGUGAGGAAUACAUCGGAAUCUACCUUUUGGUGGGGGAUAACGUAGGGAAACUUACGGUAAUACCGCAUACGCCCUUCGGGGGAAAGCCGGGGACCUUUUAGGCCUGGCGCUGAUAGAUGAGCCGAUGUCGGAUUAGCUAGUUGGUGAGGUAAUGGCUCACCAAGGCGACGAUCCGUAGGUGGUCUGAGAGGAUGAUCAGCCACACUGGAACUGAGACACGGUCCAGACUCCUACGGGAGGCAGCAGUGGGGAAUAUUGGACAAUGGGCGCAAGCCUGAUCCAGCCAUACCGCGUGGGUGAAGAAGGCCUUCGGGUUGUAAAGCCCUUUUGUUGGGAAAGAAAAGCAUUCGGUUAAUACCCGGGU